Lutra lutra (Eurasian river otter) is the source of this 146-nucleotide long non-coding RNA. RefSeq lists it as uncharacterized. The transcript has 2 exons. NCBI's taxonomy places the organism in Eukaryota, Metazoa, Chordata, Mammalia, Carnivora, Mustelidae. The record is from RefSeq and is a predicted model, not a curated record.
AAAUCUUGCCAUUUGCAAUGACAUAGAUGGAGCUAGAAGGUAUUGUGCUAAGUGAAAUAAUCAAUCAGAGAAAGACAAUUAUCAUAUGACCUCACUGAUACGUGGAAUCUAAGAAACUAAACAGAGGAUCAUUGGGGAAGAGAGGA